This is a long non-coding RNA of Hibiscus syriacus, 104 nucleotides long. RefSeq lists it as uncharacterized. Lineage: Eukaryota; Viridiplantae; Streptophyta; Magnoliopsida; Malvales; Malvaceae. The transcript is spliced from 2 exons. The record is from RefSeq and is a predicted model, not a curated record.
CUUCCUUCCCCAUUCUUGUGUACCCUUAUUGAAUUGAAGCAUCCAAAGUGAAACAGGUCAAUGUUGCAUGCAAUCUCUGUUCCAAACACUUGCACUUCGUAUCC